CGCACGCGCGCGCCGGAGGCGCGAAGCCGCCUGAGGGAAGCGGCCCUCAGCCCCUGCGCCCGUCCGCCUGGCGAGGGAACGCGGAUGAUCUCUGGAAUCUCAGCGCUUGUUUCGGCUUUUUUGUUGCAGAAUACAUCCUGAAGCUGGCACAUGGCCAAUACUUUAAGAUGAUGAAAAUUAACUUAAACUAGCAGAUUCCUCCCAUUAACUUAUUCUGAACACUGUAUUCAAGGGGUAAAAGUGUCUGCAAAAAAAACCCAGAACAAACAAACAAAAAAACCCAGCCACAAGGAGGACUGCUUCAAUACUUAUAACAGGAAUUGUUUCUGUAUUACAAGGUGCAGGCAUGCUGUAAAAUCUGAGUGUAGAGACUAUGGAAAGAAGGGCUGCCUGUGUCCUGCCUGCACUGCACUUAGCUGUGGAAGACAAAACUCGCUCUGCUGGGCAGCAGGGAAAGGAUUCUGA
Molecule: long non-coding RNA, 465 nt
Filed under: Cyanistes caeruleus (blue tit)
Lineage: Eukaryota; Metazoa; Chordata; Aves; Passeriformes; Paridae
Description: lncRNA (ENSCCEG00000013630.1)
Source: RNAcentral